UGGCGCACGGGUGAGUAACACGUAGGUAAUGUGCCUUUGGGUGGGGAAUAACUUAGGGAAACUUAAGCUAAUACCGCAUAAUGCGAUAACUUCUUCGGAAGAUUUUGUUAAAGAUUUAUCGCCUGAAGAGCAGCCUGCGGCAGAUUAGCUAGUUGGUAAGGUAACGGCUACCAAGGCUACGAUCUGUAUCCGACCUGAGAGGGUGGUCGGACACACUGACACUGAAUAACGGGUCAG
Molecule: ribosomal RNA, 237 nt
Filed under: uncultured bacterium
Lineage: Bacteria
Description: partial 16S ribosomal RNA
Rfam family: Bacterial small subunit ribosomal RNA
Source: RNAcentral